This 1470-nucleotide long non-coding RNA is filed under the name Cyanistes caeruleus (blue tit). Its description in RNAcentral is "lncRNA (ENSCCEG00000005079.1)". Lineage: Eukaryota; Metazoa; Chordata; Aves; Passeriformes; Paridae. The record is from RNAcentral.
AUUCUGCUACCAAACUGCUUCUGGGACUUCAUGCAGUUUGCUUCAUCUGAGAGAACCUCAGGUGUUGCUGUUGAGCAGAAAUUGGAAGAAACUGUGAAGGUGAAUAGACUGGGAAAAUGGUCCUGCCCAUCAUCACAGGAAACCAUAAACCUCACCACUGUGGGACAGGAGUGACCAACCAUGACCAUUUUUGCUGCCUUAGGAACAUCCCCAUUCCCUCUAUUUUUCAGAUAAGAAACAGAAAGAAUGACUUACUAGGGAACCGAGUUAAAAACGAAAGAAGUGAAGAUUGGUCAUCUCUGCAGAGGAAAUUACAAGGUCUUUCUCAGAAGAAACAGCUGCAUAAUGUGGAAUCAGUUGUGUGAAAUUCUGUUGGCAAGGCCUUUGACUUUCAACUCUGCUGGAUCCAGCUGAGUGAUCAAAGAGAGACCUUUUGCAGGUAUUUCUUGUCUUCACCUGUACUAAUCUCACCUUAAUGAGAUGCAAAUUAUUCCAGAAUAAUAAUUUCAAGAAACACUUGUGUUCCUUCUGAGGAAAUGCUAUGAGGGUGAUCUGGAAUGCCAGGAGUUUGGUGUUGAGUGGGCCCAUUAAUCCUACUGUAUCCAAGUCCAGUGUUUUAGUUAAAUUUUAAGCAAGCUAGAGACCUUUAUGGUAAAUACAGGGUAUUUUAAGACACAUUUAAGACUACACUAGAUACACUACACUGAAGAUACACUAGAUGUCUGUUUUGACAUAGCUUUUAUCUCUCAAAACCAGCAUCUCAAUUAUUUGGUUAAGUAUCCUGUAGAUGUCAAAGAACAUUGCUGAAUCUAGAAAUGAAGGUCUGGUCUUGAUCUAAGCAUCUCUGCCUUAUAAUGAGGUACUGUCUAAUAGCCUUCAUAGCAAACAGUUAAUACAGACACGUGCUAAAAGGGGCACUUGUCCCUGUUAAGAGGAGUUAAAAGUGCCCUCCUCAUUCCCAUAACUAAAGGCCAGAUUCCUCACUGAAUUUCAAGCAACCUGCCCUGGCAUCUGUGGCAUCUUGUGAUCAUGACUUUGGGGGUUACAGAAUCACAGUUCCCUUCUUGUCAAAGCCAGAAGAAGGAGGUGGUCCCUGUGUCAGUCCACGUACCCUAAAUGAUCUUAGCACUGAAGAGUCCCAAAGCUGGUUCAUGGACAUUACAAAUUUGUUCUCCUCAGCACACAGAGGAAGAACACAAUAUUUUACAGGUGUGGAAGUGAAACACAGCUGUGAAUAUUUUAAGAUGUAUAACCUCAACAGAUAGGGGUAGAUCUUUAAAAGCCUUCAGUGUGGGUCAGCUUGUAACAUUUUCAGUGAGACUGACAGCUGAGUAACAGUUUCCCCUUGAAAAGUCUGAUUCUAGCAUCUAAAGAAGCCAGAAGAACUGAUCUUAUUUUUCUGAGAACUCAACCCAAGUAUUUGCUCAAGAUUAUGAAAUAAAUAUGUGGUCCAGUUGGUAAAUUAAUCCA